CGGUGAUAAACCGGAGGAAGGUGGGGACGACGUCAAGUCAUCAUGGCCCUUACGUGUAGGGCUACACACGUGCUACAAUGGCGCAUACAGAGUGCUGCGAACCUGCGAGGGUAAGCGAAUCACUUAAAGUGCGUCGUAGUCCGGAUUGGAGUCUGCAACUCGACUCCA
This 168-nucleotide ribosomal RNA is filed under the name Pseudoalteromonas sp. R8-58. Its description in RNAcentral is "partial 16S ribosomal RNA". It matches the Rfam family "Bacterial small subunit ribosomal RNA", at positions 1153 to 1320 of the family's 1533-position model. Lineage: Bacteria; Pseudomonadati; Pseudomonadota; Gammaproteobacteria; Alteromonadales; Pseudoalteromonadaceae. The record is from RNAcentral.